CCUUGAUACAGAAUUUAAGACUCCCUAAAGCGAUCGAUUCGUAUUGUCCAUCGAUUUAAAGCGGUGUAAAAAUGAGGCAAAAAAGUUGAAUUUAUCCACUUUAUCUAUUUUCAUUUUUAUUGUAACCCCGUCUCAUGAAUAUUAAUGAGUGGCUAAUCCCCAUUUAGAAUUAGGCCUACAUUUCAGAAUAGUGUGCGUAAAGUUUAAUAGGCAGACGGAGAGCAAACGUGAAAGGGAGUGAAGAAAAACUCGACCCUUCCAGAAAAAAACACGAAAUCAGCACACAGAGAGAGUCUGAGCCUCUGAGAAUUACAGAAAGCACCUUUCAAGCCUCACUUUCCCAAAGAAAUGCCAAUAAAAUACGGUAACAGAAUAUCACGGAGGGCGCGGUGUUUCCUUAACUGUUUCUGAAAGGCUCAGAAGAUCUUAAUAAGGCUCGGCUCGGUCCUUUUGUUAAUCUCACAAAAUCAACUCAUUCUAAUUGAGGCCUGAGCUGAAAGCGACCUAAUGUUCAAAGCAAGUGACCGCCGGAGGAACGAAAUUACAUUUUUACUAUAUGGGGCAUCCAAUCAAAGACCAGGCGGCUUUACGCGUUCUUCAAUAGAUCAACAAAGUCAUCGACAAAAGUAGCCUGCUCUUGGAAGUAACAGAGAUGCCGCUGCUAGCCGUCAAUAGACGCGACAAAACUAAAGAGAAAGUUAUUGGAUAGGUCUAGGACUGCUUAGAAGUACGGUGACAGAAUGCGCAUAUAUAUGUUUAUUAAUGUUUAUACUGCCUGUUUAAAAUCACAAGUGUUGGUCCCAGGCCCCCCAGAAAGGCCGAUUCCACCUGUUCUUAAACUAUUUACACGAAUAAUAAUAACAAAAUGUGAUCCUCAAAUCCAUUCAAUAGAAAUAUAUAAAAUUCCUGCGUUUUGUCCGUUUGCUAUUUUUUCUCUUGGCCCUGAUGUUGCUGAGACCCCGUGAUAAAGCCAGAACAAGUAGGCUAUCAAGUUAUCAGGUUGCAAGAAGCUUUUGUAAUAAGAGUAUUUUGUCUAAUCCCAAAUUGCAGCCGAAUUUUCUAAAUGCUGAGCUCGUAAAUCUCGGGAUUAGAGGAGGCGAGAAGAGGAGGGGGAAAAGUUUGGUUUCUUUAGCCGGCAGGAUGGGAGUGGGUCGGCGAUGUUGUCGGUCCUUAUUAAAACGACGAUGCAUAAAAAACGAUAUUGAAGCUCGUACAGAAGGCUCGGUACCGAUUCCACCGGUGUAUUUUCGGACGAGAGAAGGAUUUUCGGCGGUCGAGGGGGUUCGUGAAGUCCUACAGCACAACACCUGAAGUCAGGCCGAGGACUUCAAAGCAGCCGGAUCCACAGAACGCGCUCUGGGACGCGCGCAUCUCUCCUCGCGCUGAGAUGCUCUACUUAUUGCUACACCGUUUUGGAGAGCUCCUUUUUUUUAUAAGAAUAUCUAUUUUAAAAGCUUUUAAAAAUAUUUUUGUUCCCCUCUAAACAUAUACUGUCGGUUUGAGCCUGAAAACAAUGAUCAACGAUCAGCAUUCUCAGCCAAAAAGCCACAGAUCCUCCCCUUCACCUCCGGCAGAGGCCGCAUGCAGCUGUCAAUCAAGCAGGAGUGGCACCGCCCCCCUCAUUAAGAAGGUAAACAAUGAAUAUGGACGCAGAGGGACACGGCAGAGUAAACGAGCGAUUGGAGCACGCCAUAAAAAACUAACGGAAGUUGCUGCUGCCUUCUUCUUCUCUAUUUUCCUCAAAGAAGCGAUGGAUGAAGCCUGUUUAGAGAUGGUGGUGGUGGGGGGGGGGGGGUCAAUCCUUUUUGGAUUACUCCCCUCUUUCUCUCUCUCUCAUUGCCCUGGGCAAUCACGUUAAAACUCACAUGGUUGGUGCUUAUUCAGAUAACCCUAACAAUGCACACCAAUGGUAACCAUGUGAGCACUCACAACCCACAGAAGAAUGCGCUGGUUCCAAUCCCCAUGACCCUCCUCCACAGCAAAAUUUAUUCAAGAGUGCAACCUGCUCAGCAGAGCUUCUUCUGAGAGUUCUGCUGAAAUAUCACUAAACACAAACUUUACAUGCAUGUUCUGCUCGCUUUAGUGUACGGACACAUGAAGCAAACUUUUGGACAGUAUGGAGUUUUUUUUUUUUGUUAGAACUUUUUUCUGAGGAAAUAACAGAAAGUAAGUAGUUGUUGGAGGAAUCCAGGAAAUAAUGCAUGAUCUUAUUACAGCAGAUUUGGGCGAGUACUGGGCAGGCUGGGAGCUCCGGCAUAAGAUGAAGCUGGAUAGAAGCCAGCUGGGAAUGAGACAAAGACCAACAUGGAAAACCAUGACAAGGAGGAUGACGGGACAACAGUCUCUGGAUUCUUACCACGCUAUUCCCAAACCACAUCUCCCAUCUGUUAUAUCUGAUACAAAUAAAGUGACUAUCAAAAAC
Molecule: long non-coding RNA, 2422 nt
Organism: Carassius carassius (crucian carp)
Lineage: Eukaryota; Metazoa; Chordata; Actinopteri; Cypriniformes; Cyprinidae
Exons: 2
Source: RefSeq, a predicted model, not a curated record